UACUUUCUGUUUGGUGAAAAAUGCCUUUUCCCUCUUCCCAGUCUCACUGGGUGUGGGUAUCAGCGGCAGCUACGCCUAUGAACACAACAGCUUAACAGCACAGGGAUGUGCAGCAGGUUGUAGGCAAACACUGCCAAGCAACCAGCAAAUCAAUAGUAGGUGGUUUUCAUACGGCCUAGAAAAUACCAUUAUUUGAACUUUGGAAGACUUCCUAUUGCCAGGACAUACGAUUAUGUUUUCAAUGUGAUGUAACCGUGCUACCUUCUAUCUGGGGCUCUGCAGAAUUAGGUCAGCUCUGAUUUCUCUGGGGAAAGAAACCACCACACGCCAGAAAAACAAACCACCAAAACCUGUUUCAAACCCCUCUGAACCCUUCAGAAUACUGGGUGUGUGCUGUAGUCCUCCAUGGUAAGAGACAACAUGAUUAAUGUUACUUCAGCAAAGUUUGUGUAGUGUCUCCUAGGAACAGUAGUUUCUGCAUCACUGCCUUAUGCCUAAGUUUGGCAAGGUUAAGAGAAACACCCUGAAUUUGUUCAAAGAAGCCUUUCAGGUGGUACAAUGGAAUAAAUGAAUAGAAAAAAUACAGGAAUUUCAUUUUAUACUUGCAUUAAAAAGAGCUAAUUCCAUACUGA
Pezoporus occidentalis (night parrot) is the source of this 632-nucleotide long non-coding RNA. RefSeq lists it as uncharacterized. Lineage: Eukaryota; Metazoa; Chordata; Aves; Psittaciformes; Psittacidae. The record is from RefSeq and is a predicted model, not a curated record. The transcript has 2 exons.